AACGAACGCUGGCGGCAUGCCUAACACAUGCAAGUCGAACGAGACCUUCGGGUCUAGUGGCGCACGGGUGCGUAACGCGUGGGAACCUGCCCUUAGGUUCGGAAUAACUCCCCGAAAGGGGUGCUAAUACCGGAUAAUGUCUUCGGACCAAAGAUUUAUCGCCUUUGGAUGGGCCCGCGUUGGAUUAGCUAGUUGGUAGGGUAAAAGCCUACCAAGGCGACGAUCCAUAGCUGGUCUGAGAGGAUGAUCAGCCACACUGGGACUGAGACACGGCCCAGACUCCUACGGGAGGAAGCAGUGGGGAAUAUUGGACAAUGGGCGAAAGCCUGAGCCAGCAAUGCCGCGUGAGUGAUGAAGGCCUUAGGGUUGUAAAGCUCUUUUACCCGGGAUGAUAAUGACAGUACCGGGAGAAUAAGCUCCGGCUAACUCCGUG
RNAcentral lists this ribosomal RNA (433 nucleotides) under uncultured bacterium. RNAcentral describes it as "partial 16S ribosomal RNA". It matches the Rfam family "Bacterial small subunit ribosomal RNA", at positions 29 to 507 of the family's 1533-position model. The record is from RNAcentral.